UAGCGGGGUAGAGUAGAGGUUUACUCACCAGCCCCAUUAGCUGGGGACGUCGGUUCGAAUCCGGCCCCCGCUAU
RNAcentral lists this transfer RNA (74 nucleotides) under subsurface metagenome. RNAcentral's name for it is "tRNA-Met". It matches the Rfam family "tRNA". Rfam says of the family: Transfer RNA (tRNA) molecules are approximately 80 nucleotides in length. Their secondary structure includes four short double-helical elements and three loops (D, anti-codon, and T loops). Further hydrogen bonds mediate the characteristic L-shaped molecular structure. tRNAs have two regions of fundamental functional importance: the anti-codon, which is responsible for specific mRNA codon recognition, and the 3' end, to which the tRNAs corresponding amino acid is attached (by aminoacyl-tRNA synthetases). tRNAs cope with the degeneracy of the genetic code in two manners: having more than one tRNA (with a specific anti-codon) for a particular amino acid; and 'wobble' base-pairing, i.e. permitting non-standard base-pairing at the 3rd anti-codon position. The record is from RNAcentral.